AUCUAGCCGACCAGUCCUAAAUAGGACGAAAAGCGCGUCAAACUGGAU
Molecule: non-coding RNA, 48 nt
Organism: Schistosoma haematobium
Lineage: Eukaryota; Metazoa; Platyhelminthes; Trematoda; Strigeidida; Schistosomatidae
Source: Rfam